GGGCUCGUGGUCUAGCGGUUAUGACGCCGCCCUUACGAGGCGGAGAUCGCCGGUUCGAAUCCGGCCGAGCCCA
This is a transfer RNA of Ferroglobus placidus DSM 10642, 73 nucleotides long. It matches the Rfam family "tRNA". Rfam says of the family: Transfer RNA (tRNA) molecules are approximately 80 nucleotides in length. The record is from Rfam. NCBI's taxonomy places the organism in Archaea, Methanobacteriati, Methanobacteriota, Archaeoglobi, Archaeoglobales, Archaeoglobaceae.